AAUCAACGCUGGCGGCGUGCCUAACACAUGCAAGUCGAACGCGGUUACCCCGCAAGGGGUAACUGAGUGGCGAACGGGUGAGUAACACGUGGGUGACCUACCUUCGAGUGGGGGAUAACGUUCCGAAAGGAACGCUAAUACCGCAUAACAUCCUGCCUUUGAACAGGUGGAGAUCAAAGCUGGGGAUCGCAAGACCUGGCGCUUGAUGAGGGGCCCGCGUCCGAUUAGCUAGUUGGUGAGGUAACGGCCCACCAAGGCGACGAUCGGUAACCGGCCUGAGAGGGCGGACGGUCACACUGGGACUGAGACACGGCCCAGACUCCUACGGGAGGCAGCAGUGGGGAAUUGUUCGCAAUGGGCGCAAGCCUGACGACGCAACG
This 380-nucleotide ribosomal RNA is filed under the name uncultured bacterium. RNAcentral describes it as "bacterial SSU rRNA". It matches the Rfam family "Bacterial small subunit ribosomal RNA", at positions 32 to 396 of the family's 1533-position model. The record is from RNAcentral.